AAAUGCAGGUGCAGCUGGACAUUCUUCUGAGCUAAAAGCAUAUUUAUUUAGUCCCGUCAAACGGAUUAUUACUUUUUGCUCUAGCUAAUAUAAAGGUCGAAUGGACUAUUUACGCUGACUGAUGCAGGAUUAACAGAUUUUAUUCGCGUAAAAUUUGUAAACUCGAUCUCAAAUCAAGUAAGACUACCCGCUGAACUUAA
This 200-nucleotide unclassified non-coding RNA is filed under the name soil metagenome. RNAcentral's name for it is "partial contains internal transcribed spacer 2 and large subunit ribosomal RNA". The record is from RNAcentral.